UCCUUUGUUGUAAUGGAGCCCCUCCCUGCAUCCAGUGAAAUAUCUAUCAUUACCUUUUCACGUUCCAGCGUUCAUUUGUCCACGGGAGGGGAUGGCUUCUUUGUUUGUUAUUUUACAAGUUGGCCAUUUUGCUGCCGCCUGUAUAACCACCCACGAAUUAUUUUUUUUUCUUUGUAAGGAGUGUGUGGGGCCGCGCCUCCCUUACCAACAUAUUCGGUGGGCCAGGCCAAAUCCAGCCAGUUCUUGGGUUCAGUUCAGCAGUCGGAACUGGAUUGGCAAGGCAGCCGGACGUAAUUCGCGAGCAACUCGGCGGUUCCAGCACCUUGCAGAGCUCAUAAAUCAGGCGGAAAAUGGACGACGAUACGGACAUCUUUGACAUCGACCCGCGCGAAGUGUGGCUGGAAAAGGAGGCCAUUGCGGGCUUUCGAGUGUGGCACAUUAUAGCUGCCGUUCUUGGAAUUUUAAUGUUAAUCAUGAUUAUGGUCUGUUGCUGCAUUCGCUUCCGGAUUCCGCGCACCAAACAGGAAAUAGAGGCGGACUAUCAGCGGAAACAGAUCACUAAGAAGUUCCGUGAAAAGCUGCAGCAGAUCAAGAACUCCGAAAUGGACGACAUGGAUCUGCAGAAGGCACUUGCUUAUAUCAAAUUGGAACAGUACGAUGAUCCCUAAGGGCUCUGUAAAUUCACCCGCACACUGUACAAACUAUCGGAAGUACUUAAGCAGCAAACUCUUUAUCGCAAAAAAAAUAAAACACUGCCAACUUUGUGCCCGCAUCCAAAGCGAUUAUCUGAAUUUUCAGGCCAGCAUGGAGAGCAUGAAUGAAAAGCAGAAUGUUAAGUUUAAGAUCUAAGUGCCUCCUUAAAAUGUGUUUGAUGCGUAACUGUUAAAGUAUUGUGCUGCGGAGAUUGUAUCCUUAAGCGAAUUGUUAGUAACCUAAUUU
This is an RNA transcript of Drosophila gunungcola (fruit fly), 939 nucleotides long. It is a transcript of the gene named transmembrane inner ear expressed protein, with no coding region annotated. The record is from RefSeq and is a predicted model, not a curated record. Lineage: Eukaryota; Metazoa; Arthropoda; Insecta; Diptera; Drosophilidae. The transcript has 4 exons.